AUUGAACGCUGGCGGCAUGCUUUACACAUGCAAGUCGAACGGUAACAGGCCUUCGGGUGCUGACGAGUGGCGAACGGGUGAGUAAUGCAUCGGAACGUGCCCAGAGGUGGGGGAUAACGCAGCGAAAGCUGUGCUAAUACCGCAUGUGAUCUGAGGCUGAAAGCGGGGGACCAAGCAGCAAUGUUUGGCCUCGCGCCUCUGGAUCGGCCGAUGUCGGAUUAGGUAGUUGGUGGGGUAAAGGCCUACCAAGCCGACGAUCUGUAGCUGGUCUGAGAGGACGACCAGCCACACUGGGACUGAGACACGGCCCAGACUCCUACGGGAGGCAGCAGUGGGGAAUUUUGGACAAUGGGCGCAAGCCUGAUCCAGCAAUGCCGCGUGCGGGAAGAAGGCCUUCGGGUUGUAAACCGCUUUUGUACGGAACGAAAAGGCUCUGGCUAAUACCUGGGGCUGAUGACGGUACCGUAAGAAUAAGCACCGGCUAACUACGUG
This 492-nucleotide ribosomal RNA is filed under the name uncultured bacterium. RNAcentral describes it as "partial 16S ribosomal RNA". It matches the Rfam family "Bacterial small subunit ribosomal RNA", at positions 30 to 507 of the family's 1533-position model. The record is from RNAcentral.